GACGAACGCUGGCGGCGUGCCUAACACAUGCAAGUCGAACGGCAAGGCACUGCUUUCGUGGGGUGCCCGAGUGGCGAACGCGUGAGUAACACGUGAGUAACCUGCCCUAGACUUUGGGAUAACUUCAGGAAACUGGGGCUAAUAUCGGACAGGAGCCCCUGCUGCAUGGUGGGGGUUGGAAAGUCUCGGCGGUCGGGGAUGGACGCGCGGCUUAUCAGCUUGUUGGUGGGGUAGUGGCUUACCAAGGCAUUGACGGGUAGCCGGCCUGAGAGGGUGACCGGCCACAUUGGUACUGAGGUACGGCCCAGACUCCUACGGGAGGCAGCAGUGGGGAAUAUUGCACAAUGGGCGGACGCCUGAUGCAGCGACGCCGCGUGCGGGAUGACGGCCUUCGGGUUGUGAACCGCUGUCGCCUGUGACGAAGCGUGAGUGACGGUAAUGGGUAAAGAAGCACCGGCUAACUACGUG
Molecule: ribosomal RNA, 468 nt
Filed under: uncultured bacterium
Lineage: Bacteria
Description: partial 16S ribosomal RNA
Rfam family: Bacterial small subunit ribosomal RNA
Source: RNAcentral